Homo sapiens (human) is the source of this 107-nucleotide small nuclear RNA. NCBI's taxonomy places the organism in Eukaryota, Metazoa, Chordata, Mammalia, Primates, Hominidae. The record is from Ensembl.
GUGCUUGCUCCAGCAGCACAUUUAUUAAAAUGAGAACAAUACAGAGAAGAUUAGCAUGGCCCCUUUGUAAGGAUGACAUGCAAAUUUGUGAAGCGUCCCAUAUUUUG